Molecule: ribosomal RNA, 440 nt
Filed under: uncultured bacterium
Lineage: Bacteria
Description: partial 16S ribosomal RNA
Rfam family: Bacterial small subunit ribosomal RNA
Source: RNAcentral
CCUACGGGAGGCUGCAGUGGGGAAUAUUGCACAAUGGGGGAAACCCUGAUGCAGCGACGCCGCGUGAGUGAAGAAGUAAUUCGUUAUGUAAAGCUCUAUCAGCAGGGAAGAAAAUGACGGUACCUGAGUAAGAAGCCCCGGCUAACUACGUGCCAGCAGCCGCGGUAAUACGGAGGGGGCAAGCGUUAUCCGGAUUUACUGGGUGUAAGGGGAGCGUAGACGGGAGUGCAAGUCAGGAGUGAAAGGCGGCGGCUCAACCCCCGGAGUGCUCUGGAAACUGUACGGCUGGAGUGCAGGAGAGGUAAGAGGAAUUCGUAGUGUAGCGGUGAAAUGCGUAGAUAUUAGGAGGAACACCAGUGGCGAAGGCGGCUUACUGGACUGUAACUGACGUUGAGGCUCGAAAGCGUGGGGAGCAAACAGGAUUAGAUACCCGGGUAGUC